CGUGUAGGCGGCUCGGUAAGUCCGCUGUGAAAGUCCAGGGCUCAACCCUGGAAAGCCGGUGGAAACUGUCGGGCUAGAGUCCGGAGGAGGCGAGUGGAAUUCCUGGUGUAGCGGUGAAAUGCGCAGAUAUCAGGAGGAACACCAAUAGCGAAGGCAGCUCGCUGGGACGGUACUGACGCUGAGACGCGAAAGCGUGGGGAGCAAACAGGAUUAGAUACCCUGGUAGUCCACGCCGUAAACGAUGGGCACUAGGUGUGGGGGGUGUCGACUCCCUCCGUGCCGACGCUAACGCAUUAAGUGCCCCGCCUGGGGAGUACGGCCGCAAGGCUAAA
This 332-nucleotide ribosomal RNA is filed under the name uncultured bacterium. RNAcentral describes it as "bacterial SSU rRNA". It matches the Rfam family "Bacterial small subunit ribosomal RNA", at positions 568 to 898 of the family's 1533-position model. The record is from RNAcentral.